Molecule: ribosomal RNA, 974 nt
Filed under: uncultured Hypocreales
Lineage: Eukaryota; Fungi; Ascomycota; Sordariomycetes; Hypocreales
Description: eukaryotic LSU rRNA
Rfam family: Eukaryotic large subunit ribosomal RNA (bases 333-974)
Source: RNAcentral
AAAACUUUCAACAACGGAUCUCUUGGCUCUGGCAUCGAUGAAGAACGCAGCGAAAUGCGAUAAGUAAUGUGAAUUGCAGAAUUCAGUGAAUCAUCGAAUCUUUGAACACACAUUGCGCCCGCCAGUAUUCUGGCGGGCAUGCCUGUUCGAGCGUCAUUACAACCCUCAGGCCCCCGGGCCUGGCGUUGGGGAUCGGCGGAAGCCCCCUGCGGGCACAACGCCGUCCCCCAAAUACAGUGGCGGUCCCGCCGCAGCUUCCAUUGCGUAGUAGCUAACACCUCGCAACUGGAGAGCGGCGCGGCCACGCCGUAAAACACCCAACUUCUGAAUGUUGACCUCGAAUCAGGUAGGAAUACCCGCUGAACUUAAGCAUAUCAAUAAGCGGAGGAAAAGAAACCAACAGGGAUUGCCCCAGUAACGGCGAGUGAAGCGGCAACAGCUCAAAUUUGAAAUCUGGCUCUCGGGCCCGAGUUGUAAUUUGUAGAGGAUGCUUUUGGUGAGGUGCCUUCCGAGUUCCCUGGAACGGGACGCCAUAGAGGGUGAGAGCCCCGUCUGGUUGGACACCGAUCCUCUGUAAAGCUCCUUCGACGAGUCGAGUAGUUUGGGAAUGCUGCUCUAAAUGGGAGGUAUAUGUCUUCUAAAGCUAAAUACCGGCCAGAGACCGAUAGCGCACAAGUAGAGUGAUCGAAAGAUGAAAAGAACUUUGAAAAGAGAGUUAAAAAGUACGUGAAAUUGUUGAAAGGGAAGCGCUUGUGACCAGACUUGGGCUUGGUUGAUCAUCCGGGGUUCUCCCCGGUGCACUCUUCCGGCUCAGGCCAGCAUCAGUUCGCCCUGGGGGAUAAAGGCUUCGGGAAUGUGGCUCUCUCCGGGGAGUGUUAUAGCCCAUCGCGUAAUACCCUGAGCUGGACUGAGGUACGCGCUCCGCAAGGAUGCUGGCGUAAUGGUCAUCAGUGACCCGUCUUGAAACACGGACC